This 550-nucleotide long non-coding RNA is filed under the name Triticum aestivum (bread wheat). Its description in RNAcentral is "long non-coding RNA (TAES_LNC018144)". The record is from RNAcentral. Lineage: Eukaryota; Viridiplantae; Streptophyta; Magnoliopsida; Poales; Poaceae.
CUAUCUAAUGGCCGGGAAGACAUCCAAAGAACUCGCCAUAAUUCCAAACCACUGUGCCGCUGUAGCGCAGCACUCCCUCCUCGUCCUCCCUCAAGAACACGGAAAAAGAUCGGGGCUUUUGGGUUCCGGACACCAAGGAUUGGAUAUUUAUUCUGUUUUGCGUUGCUUUGCUUUGACCGGCGCGGCGGUUCUUGAACUUGGGAUGGAGUUGCAGGGGCCGGGCGAGGGGAGGGGAGGCGCCGUCGCCUGAUGUAGAUUUCCCUUUUCCCUUUGCCUGCUUUGUUUAUUCUGGCUCUGGGCGUUCACAUCUCUCGCAGAGCUUUCGUGAUCUGCCAAUUGGAGGCCAUGCGCGCGGGCCAAACAGGUGCUUGCCUUUCUUGCUUUUCAUGAUGUUGAUUUGCUCUUUUGAUGGCUGUGCUCGCCAUGGAUUGAUUGCGUGUGGAGUUGGGUUUUCCUUCGGGGUUUGCGAAUUUGACGGAGGGCAAUUUGGUGGCAGGUUUGCUGUGCGGGAAGAAGUGAUCGCAUUUCGAGGCGGUGGUUUUCGGUGGAG